RNAcentral lists this ribosomal RNA (235 nucleotides) under uncultured bacterium. RNAcentral's name for it is "partial 16S ribosomal RNA". It matches the Rfam family "Bacterial small subunit ribosomal RNA", at positions 118 to 352 of the family's 1533-position model. The record is from RNAcentral.
UGAGCAAUCUGCCCUUCUCUUCGGAAUAAGCGUUGGAAACGACGUCUAAUGCCGAAUACGACCUCCUUUCGCAUGAUCGGGGUGGAAAGCUCCGGCGGAGAAGGAUGAGCUCGCGGCCUAUCAGCUAGUUGGUGUGGGUAAUGGCCCACCAAGGCGACGACGGGUAGCCGGCCUGAGAGGGUGACCGGCCACACGUGGGACUGUGACACGGCCCAGACCUCCGUACGGGAGCAGC